UCUGAUAGUCUUUGGCUGUCCGAGUUGUAAUCUGGAGAAGCGUCUUCCGCGCUGGACCGUGUACAAGUCUCCUGGAACGGAGCGUCAUAGAGGGUGAGAAUCCCGUCUUUGACACGGACUACCAGUGCUUUGUGAUGCGCUCUCAAAGAGUCGAGUUGUUUGGGAAUGCAGCUCAAAAUGGGUGGUAAACUCCAUCUAAAGCUAAAUAUUGGCGAGAGACCGAUAGCGAACAAGUACCGUGAGGGAAAGAUGAAAAGCACUUUGGAAAGAGAGUUAAACAGUACGUGAAAUUGCUGAAAGGGAAACGCUUGAAGUCAGUCGCGUUUGCUAGGACUCAGCCUUGCCUCGGCUUGGUGCACUUCCUAGUAGACGGGCCAGCAUCACUUUUGGCUGCGGGAAAAAGGUCAGAGGAAUGUGGCACCUUCGGGUGUGUUAUAGCCUCUGGCUGCAUACCGUGGCUGGGAGUGAGGAUCUCAGCACGCCUUACGGCGGGGCUUCGGCCACCUUCGUGCUUAGGAUGCUGGCGUAAUGGCUUUAAACGACCCGUCUUGAAACACGGACCAAGGAGUCUAACAUGCCUGCGAGUGUUUGGGUGGAAAACCCGAGCGCGUAAUGAAAGUGAAAGUUGGGACCUCUGUCGUGGAGGGCACCGACGCCCGGACCAGAACUUUGGGGACGGAUCUGCGGUAGAGCAUGUAUGUUGGGACCCGAAAGAUGGUGAACUAUGCCUGAAUAGGGUG
RNAcentral lists this ribosomal RNA (740 nucleotides) under Phanerochaete sordida. Its description in RNAcentral is "eukaryotic LSU rRNA". It matches the Rfam family "Eukaryotic large subunit ribosomal RNA", at positions 121 to 848 of the family's 3401-position model. The record is from RNAcentral. Lineage: Eukaryota; Fungi; Basidiomycota; Agaricomycetes; Polyporales; Phanerochaetaceae.